UACGUAGGGUGCGAGCGUUAAUCGGAAUUACUGGGCGUAAAGCGUACGCAGGCGGCUUUGCAAGACAGGUGUGAAAUCCCCGGGCCUAACCUGGGAACUGCAUUUGUGACUGCAUGGCUAGAGUUUGUCAGAGGGGGGUGGAAUUCCACGUGUAGCAGUGAAAUGCGUAGAUAUGUGGAGGAACACCGAUGGCGAAGGCAGCCCCCUGGGAUGUGACUGACGCUCAUGUACGAAAGCGUGGGGAGCAAACAGG
Molecule: ribosomal RNA, 253 nt
Filed under: uncultured bacterium
Lineage: Bacteria
Description: partial 16S ribosomal RNA
Rfam family: Bacterial small subunit ribosomal RNA
Source: RNAcentral